RNAcentral lists this ribosomal RNA (465 nucleotides) under Vreelandella stevensii. Its description in RNAcentral is "partial 16S ribosomal RNA". It matches the Rfam family "Bacterial small subunit ribosomal RNA", at positions 338 to 795 of the family's 1533-position model. Lineage: Bacteria; Pseudomonadati; Pseudomonadota; Gammaproteobacteria; Oceanospirillales; Halomonadaceae. The record is from RNAcentral.
CCUACGGGCGGCUUCAGUGGGGAAUAUUGGACAAUGGGGGGAACCCUGAUCCAGCCAUGCCGCGUGUGUGAAGAAGGCCCUCGGGUUGUAAAGCACUUUCAGUGAGGAAGAACGCCUGGUGGUUAAUACCCAUCAGGAAAGACAUCACUCACAGAAGAAGCACCGGCUAACUCCGUGCCAGCAGCCGCGGUAAUACGGAGGGUGCGAGCGUUAAUCGGAAUUACUGGGCGUAAAGCGCGCGUAGGUGGCUUGAUAAGCCGGUUGUGAAAGCCCCGGGCUCAACCUGGGAACGGCAUCCGGAACUGUCAAGCUAGAGUGCAGGAGAGGAAGGUAGAAUUCCCGGUGUAGCGGUGAAAUGCGUAGAGAUCGGGAGGAAUACCAGUGGCGAAGGCGGCCUUCUGGACUGACACUGACACUGAGGUGCGAAAGCGUGGGUAGCAAACAGGAUUAGAUACCCCAGUAGUC